ACAUCUUUAGCUGAAUGGUACAGCAUUUGCCUUCGAAGUAAUAAGUUAUUGGUUCGAAUCCAAUAAGAUGUC
This 72-nucleotide transfer RNA is filed under the name Paxillus involutus. RNAcentral's name for it is "tRNA-Arg". It matches the Rfam family "tRNA". From Rfam's summary of the family: Transfer RNA (tRNA) molecules are approximately 80 nucleotides in length. Their secondary structure includes four short double-helical elements and three loops (D, anti-codon, and T loops). The record is from RNAcentral. Lineage: Eukaryota; Fungi; Basidiomycota; Agaricomycetes; Boletales; Paxillaceae.